GACCGGCGCACGGGUGCGUAACGCGUAUGCAACCUACCUUUUACAGGGGAAUAGCCCAGAGAAAUUUGGAUUAAUGCCCCAUAGUAUGUAUGAAUCGCAUGGUUUAUACAUUAAAGUUCCAACGGUAAAAGAUGAGCAUGCGUCCCAUUAGUUAGUUGGUAAGGUAACGGCUUACCAAGACGAUGAUGGGUAGGGGUCCUGAGAGGGAGAUCCCCCACACUGGUACUGAGACACGGACCAGACUCCUACGGGAGGCAGCAGUGAGGAAUAUUGGACAAUGGGCGCAAGCCUGAUCCAGCCAUGCCGCGUGCAGGAAGAAGCAUCUAUGGUGUGUAAACUGCUUUUGUACGGGAAGAAACACUCCUUCGUGAAGGAGCUUGACGGUACCGUAAGAAUAAGGAUCGGCUAACUCCGUGCCAGCAGCCGCGGUAAUACGGAGGAUCCAAGCGUUAUCCGGAAUCAUUGGGUUUAAAGGGUCCGUAGGCGGUUUGAUAAGUCAGUGGUGAAAGCCCAUCGCUCAACGAUGGAACGGCCAUUGAUACUGUCAGACUUGAAUUACUAGGAAGUAACUAGAAUAUGUAGUGUAGCGGUGAAAUGCUUAGAUAUUACAUGGAAUACCAAUUGCGAAGGCAGGCUACUACUAGUGGAUUGACGCUGAUGGACGAAAGCGUGGGGAGCGAACAGGACUAGAUACCCUGGUAGUCCACGCCGUANACGAUGGAUACUAGCUGUUGGGCGCAAGUUCAGUGGCUAAGCGAAAGUGAUAAGUAUCCCACCUGGGGAGUACGUUCGCAAGAAUGAAACUCAAAGGAAUUGACGGGGGCCCGCACAAGCGNUGGAGCAUGUGGUUUAAUUCGA
This 858-nucleotide ribosomal RNA is filed under the name uncultured bacterium. Its description in RNAcentral is "bacterial SSU rRNA". It matches the Rfam family "Bacterial small subunit ribosomal RNA", at positions 93 to 954 of the family's 1533-position model. The record is from RNAcentral.